CCUCUCUCUUCCGAUCGAGAAGACCGUCUCGCUCGUUCUCGUCCCGUUCCAACAGCUUUCUCCUCUCUGUCUGCACCCUCUUCUCCUCCUUUGCCUGUCCGUCAAAAAAUUCAAUCAGCAACGAUCUGCAGU
RNAcentral lists this non-coding RNA (132 nucleotides) under Chromera velia. The record is from RNAcentral. Lineage: Eukaryota; Chromeraceae.